GACGAACCGUGCUAACGUUGUUCGGAUUCACUGGGCUUAAAGGGCGCGUAGGCGGAUCAGCCAGUCUAGGGUGAAAUCUUUCGGCUUAACCGGAAAAGGGCCUUGGAUACUGCUGGUCUGGAGGGAGGUAGGGGCAUGUGGAACUUCCGGUGGAGCGGUGAAAUGCGUAGAUAUCGGAAGGAACGCCGGUGGCGAAAGCGACGUGCUGGACCUCUUCUGACGCUGAGGCGCGAAAGCUAGGGGAGCAAACGGG
RNAcentral lists this ribosomal RNA (253 nucleotides) under uncultured bacterium. Its description in RNAcentral is "partial 16S ribosomal RNA". It matches the Rfam family "Bacterial small subunit ribosomal RNA", at positions 524 to 776 of the family's 1533-position model. The record is from RNAcentral.